Triticum aestivum (bread wheat) is the source of this 616-nucleotide long non-coding RNA. RefSeq lists it as uncharacterized. The record is from RefSeq and is a predicted model, not a curated record. NCBI's taxonomy places the organism in Eukaryota, Viridiplantae, Streptophyta, Magnoliopsida, Poales, Poaceae. The transcript is spliced from 3 exons.
AUUAAAAUUUUGUUGCAUGUCAUCAUUAUUUUCUAAUAUAUGAUUUAGACAGGACCAAUGGCUGUAGUUAUGGUUUUGGCGGUUUCUUGUGUGGGUGGAGCUAUCGCGGCAGUAACUGGAGUCGUUUCAGUCUGGCAAUCUUACCUAAGGCAUAAAGCUAGACGUGAAAAAGAGGAAAUCUGUCGUAUCUGCGGAAAACCAGUCAAACUUCGACUAUUAGGAGAACACUUUGAAAAUCAUGGAGAUAAGAAAGGGCAAUCAUCAGAAGAUGAAUACGUUGACAUCAAUGGUGCUGAUACUGCACUGUUUGCAUAACAUGGUGGGUGCGAGGCGAUGAGAGAAAAGGGGGUUUUGCCACUUGCGAAAUGGCGAGGCGUCGGUUGGGUCAUAACUUUGAAAUAGCAAAAGGGUUUGAGGAUAUAUAGUUAAGUUGAUGUGGAGAAGAAAAACUUUCCUUUAGUAGUAAAAUGCACUUGGGUGACUGUUUACAACAAUCGUUCUGUGAGAGUGGUUGCAAGAAUUCUUUGCUUUUGUUCGUUCUGCAACUGGUUGCUUGACUAUGAACAAUUGUUGGUGUGAUGUUUCUUGUUGCGCCCGCAGGAAGUUUAUUCGACUG